RNAcentral lists this long non-coding RNA (203 nucleotides) under Ananas comosus (pineapple). Its description in RNAcentral is "long non-coding RNA (ACOM_LNC011384)". The record is from RNAcentral. Lineage: Eukaryota; Viridiplantae; Streptophyta; Magnoliopsida; Poales; Bromeliaceae.
ACUUUCCAACGAUAUCUCGUCCAGAAAUUUCAAUUUAUUACUACGUGUCAUUUUUAUUCUGUUCAAAGAAUUAUAAUUCUUUUAUUUAGAAUUUUUAUCUAAAUUUUAGCAUUAAAAAAAUACCCAACAAAUCAGUUGACUGAAGUAAAAUUAACCUAGCGCAUAUGGGGAUCUCCCCAACAAAGCAUCAUCGGAGAGCUCUC